GGGACUGGUGACUGGGAUAAAUGGUCAGAAGGCCAGGAAGGGAGGCACCUGCCGGCAUGCUUCGGGGUCCCCGUGGGAGUUGCUGAAGAGGAGAAAGAGACACCAGCGUCAGCACUCUGCCUGGUGACGGCACCACGAGAAGUUUGCCGUGUGCGAGCCUGGAUCUCAGACCCCCGGCCUCCGGCACCGCGAGGAAGCAAGCCGCCCGGUCCAGGGACUAGGACAGCCCCCACGUUCCCAACCCGGCCCUCACGCAGCCGUAAUUAAAGAGAAAUAUUACAUCGCUGCACCUGUUUUUCACUUUGGCUCACCACCGUGAGUAAGCCCAAUCUUUUAUUGAGGAGAAGAGACGCAAGCUGGAAAAUCGUAGGAGGAACAUCAAAACCCCUCCAGCCUUCCCCGGAGACGUGGAAGAAAUCCCAAAUUACGGCGAGCAGCGGUGCCCACGGCGGGGCCGGGCUCUCGGCUCCUCCAAAGGGUCAGGGCCUGCCCGGGGCAAGAAUGCCGCGGCGGACGGGUUGUCCACUGCGUCCUGUUUCUGCUCCUUCUGCCCCGGCCUGAAUUCGCGCUCCCGAGAGAGGGGGUAAGAGCGGCCGGGGAAGCCGAGCGGGUCCAGUCCAGCAGCUCUGGGCCUCAGGUGGGCCUCAGCCUUCCCGGCCAGCGCCCCCCACGCUGCUCAGGGGCUUCAGUCGCAGGGACCCACAAGGCCGGGGCAGACAGCACCAGAGAGCGGAUGUUUGCCAGGCACUUCACAGUUUACUCUUGGCCCCUGAGCAUGAUUCUGUUCUCCCGAGAAGCCCCAGCAGGGAUCCUGCUACAGCGGCCGCCCCGGGGGCUCGGGUUCCUGCGUGGGUCCCCAGUGCCGCCCACUCGGCCCACCCCGAAGUUCCAGCUCUCUUCCGAGGACCCGCUUCUGUUUAUAAAACCCACCGGCGGCCCGGGUCAGCCCCUCCCUCCUGCGAAGGGGCCGUAUGUCAAAAUAAAGUCCCACUCGGAGAGGAACAGAGCGGUAAUGGGAGGCAGCAGGCCCUGACCGGGGACUUGGUGCACAUUUCCUAGACACAGACGAGCCCGUGGACUUAACUCCCUGAUGCACCUUGGGUCCCCCGGGCCCCCGCCGAGCCUGGCUGCGCACCUAUCACCCGGGCGCCUGACUACACGUGCUGACCUGUAACCCCCACCCCCAGGAGACCACCGUCCUCACCAUCGGACACGCGGCCCCGUGGCUCAGAGGAGGUGCCCUGGAGCGGUUUCUGCUGGAACAUUCCGGGGCUGAGACCCCCCCUUGUGAUUUAUGACUUCUACCACGUGACUGCUGCCGGAGGCCCCUGGAGACGCAGGGAUGGGGGGCCGAGCCACGUUCCCCGUCCCCAGUCACCGACUCCCAACUCCAGGGAGCGCCUCCCAAGCAGCGACGUUAAGGGUUCCAGAAGAGGUGAGAGGGCCAGCCUCUGCGUGGCUGAGUCCUCACAGAGACCUGUCCGGGUGCGGGGAGGACCCAGUCCUGGAAGCCAGGCAUGUCAGUUACUCACAUCAGUCCUCCGAGUGACACCGUCUCUGAGGCACCAGACCCCGCCCCCACCCCCCAGGCUUUGUAAGGUCCCGCCGUCCGGUCCAGUUGACCACAGUUUUCACCUGCCUUCAGCCCCGAAGUCCUUGCCGUUCUUCCUGUCCCCCGCCCAGAGACGGCCCUGUGAUGCGCAGAAUCGCGGCCCCCCAGAGAUGCCCACAUCGUGCUCUCAGAUGCACUGCAGAGGGGGGUCGCCGAUGCCAAUCAGCUUGCUGUGCGGCAGGAAGGCUACUCUGCACGUCCUGCGUGGACCCGAUGUGAUCACGGGGUCCUGGAAGGCAGAGCGGGAACUGCAGGAGAAAACCAGACACGUGGCUGUGUGGGAAGGACACGAGCCACCGUCCCGGCUUUGAAGACGGAGGUCGGGGUGCUGCAGUCCUCGAGCCAGGCAGCAGGGGCCGUGCUGGCUGGGGCUACGGCUCAGAGCGCCCUAGGCUGGGCCCCUUGGACUCACGAUGGCUUGCCACGUGUCCUUUGCACUCCCAGGAAGCAGGGCGGGCUGGGGUGGAGGGAUCCUGGGGCAUUCCUGGGCUGGGCAGGUAGGCACUUCGGGCAGCCGGAAGCCGGCAGAGCCAUGAACCGUGUCCCAGAGAUCACUGGGGCCGCAUCCAAGGAAACGGGAUGUCAGCAGGUCCCGAGGACUUCGGGGGGCUGGGGGGGACCACAGAGAGAGGCAGGAGAAGCUUGGACAGACUGGCCCUGUUAAGCCUCUGUUGGGAGGGAGUCCCCUCCCCUGUGGAUAUUCCGCAGGUGGCCGUCUGCAGCCCCAGCCCGUCGGCAGAGACAUCCUCCCCCGCCCCGGGGACCCCCAUCGUGGCAGCUGCGUGGAGCUGAGGUUCAGUCUGUGGCUCAGGCCUUGAAUCUAACUGAUUGUGACUGGCUCGCCCACCUCUGAUCACAGAGCUGACCCACUUUGAAAGUUUGCUGUUUUCAGCACCAGUUCAUGGCCGGGGGGAACGGCUUGGCCAAAUGUAUUAAUAACCUCAAAUAUAUUCACAUCUUCUGACUCGGUAAUUGUCCCUGUGGGAGUCCAGCCUCGGGGCGUCGCCGGGGAUGUGGACAAAGACUUUGCUCUAAGAAGUUCCUCACAACACAAUUUCGAGUAGAAAGUAACCGGCAAAUCGCUUAGAUGUUCAACAAAGGAAAAACGGCUUUUAGGGGAAAAUCCCUGCAGUGAAAUAUUUUGCAGCCGCUGAAAGGGACGGCCGAGGCAUUUUUCCGGGGACAAAAAUACCCACGACAUAAAAUUGCAUUAAGAAAAAAAAAAAGAUUGCCUGAGUUGGGGAGUUUGGAUGCUGGCUACUUUCUUUGUUGCAUUUUUCUCAAUUUCUAUAAUUUCCACCACGAUCACAUGCUUCUUGUAGAACCAGGAGGAGAGGGAGAACGGCCUCCUUGGGGCCCCGAAGACGCUGGUCUCCCAAAGCCCGUGUCCCUCGGCAGCUUGGCUGGGUUUUCCGGAGCCACGCACUCCCCGUCGGCCCUUACCUGGCACGCCCAGGGGGAUGUUUAUGUUUGGCUCUAAUUCCAAAUCCCAGUAAAACCCACAGCUGCUUCUCAGUUCUCGUCCCCGCAGCAGCAAACCCACCCCCCACGCUGCUGAUUCUCUUCUGCAUUACCAGUCUCUCUCUGCACGCAGAUACUAAAUAUAUUUUAAUGGAUCCAGGCUGUUACUGAUGCAGCCAGCCCAAGACUGGGACGGCUAGAGACACCACCAGCUGAGUUCUCAAACUCUCAAUCCAGUACUCCCCAGUCUCUACAGAAGGGGGGACGUGAAUCCAGUCCAGGCUUGAAAAUUGUCCCAGUUGGGCUAGAAAAGCUAAUCCAGCCUGGCGUCAACAAUAACGGAGUCUUAUGGUCUCACUGAAACAAAACUUCCCGAGGAAUCAGACGUCAGGCACAGCUCGAUCCAGACGUUCUUGGUGGCCUCGGGGUCCUGGCACCAUUUCCUCUGCUGUUCCUUGGCUGUUUCAACCGUGGGGCUGCAGCCUCUGUCCACGGCAUCCUGUUCAGAUGAACAGAGGGUGCUGUUGUCCCCACCUCCCCUGCAUGGCCACUGGCAUUCGCUGUCCCUGGACCAGCUCAGCUCAGGUGCUCCCCCUGGACUGUGACCAGGGGACGGGAUGCACUGACUAUCUCAGGCCAUCAGGUGCCCGAACGGGAGCUGCGGGGGGAGUCUGUUUCUCCAGAAACCAGGACCCGCGAGACAAAGGGGGAUGGGUGCCUACCACAAAUGUCCACCACGGGCAAGCUGUCCUCCGCCGCUCCCUUAGCUAGUACGUCUAGACAGGUGUUUGCUCGCAUUAACCACGGGAACAGUUCGUGAACGUUCAGUUCCCGUGCCUCACUCAGCGAAUGUGUACCAUUGCUCACAGAUCCAGUUAAAUAAAAUACUUUAA
Leptonychotes weddellii (Weddell seal) is the source of this 3966-nucleotide non-coding RNA. The record is from RefSeq and is a predicted model, not a curated record. NCBI's taxonomy places the organism in Eukaryota, Metazoa, Chordata, Mammalia, Carnivora, Phocidae.